GAUGAACGCUGGCGGCGUGCCUAAUACAUGCAAGUCGAGCGAACGGACGAGAAGCUUGCUUCUCUGAUGUUAGCGGCGGACGGGUGAGUAACACGUGGAUAACCUACCUAUAAGACUGGGAUAACUUCGGGAAACCGUAGCUAAUACCGGAUAAUAUUUUGAACCGCAUGGUUCAAAAGUGAAAGACGGUCUUGCUGUCAUUUAUAGAUGGAUCCGCGCUGCAUUAGCUAGUUGGUAAGGUAACGGCUUACCAAGGCAACGAUGCAUAGCCGACCUGAGAGGGUGAUCGGCCACACUGGAACUGAGACACGGUCCAGACUCCUACGGGAGGCAGCAGUAGGGAAUCUUCCGCAAUGGGCGAAAGCCUGACGGAGCAACGCCGCGUGAGUGAUGAAGGUCUUCGGAUCGUAAAACUCUGUUAUUAGGGAAGAACAUAUGUGUAAGUAACUGUGCACAUCUUGACGGUACCUAAUCAGAAAGCCACGGCUAACUACGUG
RNAcentral lists this ribosomal RNA (497 nucleotides) under uncultured bacterium. RNAcentral's name for it is "partial 16S ribosomal RNA". It matches the Rfam family "Bacterial small subunit ribosomal RNA", at positions 28 to 507 of the family's 1533-position model. The record is from RNAcentral.